Arabidopsis thaliana (thale cress) is the source of this 258-nucleotide long non-coding RNA. RefSeq annotates it as other RNA. The transcript has a single exon. NCBI's taxonomy places the organism in Eukaryota, Viridiplantae, Streptophyta, Magnoliopsida, Brassicales, Brassicaceae. The record is from RefSeq.
CUAUCAAGUUGAAGUAAAAAGAAUAUUUACAAGUAUAAAACUAUAUACUCAAAUAUCCCUCUCUCAAGUCGAAUUCUUCAAGCGGAAUUCUUCAAGAAGAAGAUAGUUAAAUUGGUAAACGUAAGUUUAGAUGUGUUGCAUUGUAAUAUCAUUAUACAGCCUAUUUUGUAAGUUGAUGAUUUACAUUUAAGAGAUUGUACUCUGUUAUUUAACUGGCAUCAUCAACAAUCUUUUGUUUGUUUUGUUGGAGAUUGCGAC